AUGGCGACGACGCCGGCGCGGCCAUCGCAGAGUGGCGGCGGCGAGGCGGUGUCGGUGCAGCACGUGGCCAAGGCCUCCUCGGACGAGCUGCUCCGCAAGUUCGCCGACCCGGACGACGACGACGCCAAGCAGCGCCAGCUCACCCCGCCCCGCCGCAGCCUCGCGCUGCGCCGCAAGCGCUCGUCCCGGCGCGUCGCGUCGGGGCUCUCCGCCAGGGACUCCGGUACGGCGUCCGGGGCGGGGCUGGAGCUGGCCGCGCCCAAGCGCCGGCGCAGCAUCGGCGGGUCCACGGACUGGAGGGCCGGGCUGCUGCUGCCCACCACCACGGCCUCCUCCUCCUCCUCCGCGCGGAAGACGGGCGGCCCUGCGCGUGCGAAGCGGGGCGCGCGGCUCGACGAGGCCGGCGUCGCGCACUUCCUCGCCGCGCUGGAGCGGACGUGGAAGAAGACGGUGGCGGGCGCGUCGAGGAUGUUCGUGGAGCGGCACCGGAGCAGCCACGUGCAGCUCAUCAGCGACAUGGUGUAG
Molecule: ribosomal RNA, 525 nt
Filed under: Triticum aestivum (bread wheat)
Lineage: Eukaryota; Viridiplantae; Streptophyta; Magnoliopsida; Poales; Poaceae
Description: partial small subunit ribosomal RNA
Source: RNAcentral